UGACGGUACUUGACUAAGAAGCUCCGGCUAAAUACGUGCCAGCAGCCGCGGUAAUACGUAUGGAGCAAGCGUUAUCCGGAUUUACUGGGUGUAAAGGGAGCGUAGACGGCAAAGCAAGUCUGAAGUGAAAUCCCGGGGCUCAACCCUGGAACUGCUUUGGAAACUGUUUAGCUAGAGUGCAGGAGAGGUAAGUGGAAUUCCUAGUGUAGCGGUGAAAUGCGUAGAUAUUAGGAGGAACACCAGUGGCGAAGGCGGCUUACUGGACUGUAACUGACGUUGAGGCUCGAAAGCGUGGGGAGCAAACAGGAUUAGAUACCCUG
RNAcentral lists this ribosomal RNA (320 nucleotides) under uncultured bacterium. Its description in RNAcentral is "bacterial SSU rRNA". It matches the Rfam family "Bacterial small subunit ribosomal RNA", at positions 470 to 789 of the family's 1533-position model. The record is from RNAcentral.